UAUUUUUGUUGAAUACUAGUAGUUUAAGUUGCAGUUUGAAUAAAAAAAGGCGAACCAAAUCAAAUUUCCCUAAUUUGUUUGAUUUCAUUUCCACAGAGUUUCAUGGUUAAUGAUGUUCUAAGUGGUUCAAUAAUUUACAAGGCAACCUGAUAU
Molecule: long non-coding RNA, 153 nt
Organism: Juglans microcarpa x Juglans regia
Lineage: Eukaryota; Viridiplantae; Streptophyta; Magnoliopsida; Fagales; Juglandaceae
Exons: 5
Source: RefSeq, a predicted model, not a curated record